RNAcentral lists this non-coding RNA (79 nucleotides) under Candidatus Microgenomates bacterium. The record is from RNAcentral. Lineage: Bacteria; Candidatus Microgenomatota.
AAGAAAAAUAGUUCAUUGGUGAAUUGGGUGUAAUUCCCAAACAGGGCCGCUACGGUUAUAGUCCGAACCCAAAAAUCUU